This is a long non-coding RNA of Myotis myotis, 1986 nucleotides long. RefSeq lists it as uncharacterized. The transcript is spliced from 3 exons. The record is from RefSeq and is a predicted model, not a curated record. Lineage: Eukaryota; Metazoa; Chordata; Mammalia; Chiroptera; Vespertilionidae.
CGAGCGCUUCCGGGUGCCCGGCCGCCCGAGUCGGAGGCCCCACACAGCACUUCCGGCGCGCCGGCCCAAUCCCCACGCUGUUCCCGCCCACGGCGGAUCUCCCGCCCACCAGCGAAUCCCGCUCGCCCUGCCCACGCGAGGCCCUGCCCACCCGCGUGGGCGUCUGUUGCCAUUGGGCUGUGGGACGCCCGUCUGAGGUCAUGUUGGGGUUUGGGUGAGAGUCGCGGGAUCGAAGUGAAGCCGGACAACCCAGGGCGCUGGUGCCUGCGACGCAGCAGAGACUGUGGCUCCUGCGAGCGUCUAUUCCCAUCCUGCCUGCCUGAGGCUGUGGACAGGCUUGCAGACGCAGAGACCUGAAGUCACCACAAAGGGUGGUCUGACAUUAAACUGUAACUAAAAGCAGUCAUGGCGGGCGGUUACGUCCUAGGCCUGCAUCUUCACUGACAAGGUUUCAAUGGUUUUUACGUUGACAUUACUUGGCGUAGUCACAGAAAGAUUCCAAAGAAGCUCACUAACUAGGAUCCAGCAAAGGGACCGUUGAGCCCGCAGGUUCUCCGCCCAUUGGGUGAACUCGGGUAUAUUAUAUCUUUAGAAAAGUCCAUGAAAAGGGCUCUGACACUCGCCUUCAUCUCAAGGAUGAGAAGCCGCCGACUAUGGAGGAGGUUGACAGCCAUCCCCAGACGUCAACAGGGCUGUGUGCCCACAGACUGAUGCUGCUCAAACCUUGUUCUUAUAUCCCCUAAUUGUCAUUGACUGUACGUAUAUACAAAUGAUUUUUAUACUGUCACGAUCCUCCUUAUGGUUUCUUAGUGGAAACAAUAUUUGUCUCUCUAGAACUCUUUCCCUAUUAGACAUGAAAAAUUUUCCACCUACUAGACAGUGAUAUUCUGAUGAUUGCCUAUGAUGAGUAUUGCCUAAAUAUAGGAAAGGAUAAAAUUAACUGCCCAGAAGAAAAACGGAAACUUCUGGAUAAUAGCAGAUAUUUGUUUCCCCUACAUUUUCUGUUCCUAAUCAAUGUUACUGGUUUAUUAUUGUUACUUUUAUUCCUGGUAUGUAAAUGUUAUGCUAGAUGCAGAAAAACAAAACUUGACAAACAGCAAAAAGACUUGGAUCAUGGUGGCUCAAAAAUUAGAAAUGAUCUUUAACAAGGACAUGUAGGAUCUGACUGCCUCCCAUUUACCUUCCCUUUUUGAAUAAUAUUAAUUCGACCUUCAAUGCCAGCAGGGGUCCCGGAUUGGAGAGGGUGCAGGAUGGGCUGAGGGACCCCCACACCGCCCCCCCCCAUGAGUUUUGUGCACUGGGCCUCUAGUAUCUAUUAUAAAGGACCUACCUUGGACAAACCUCUCCAAGAGCACUUCCCUAAUAAUUCCCCUGGUAGAAUAAUAUGUAGAUCUAAUCUAGAUGAGUAUUUUAGAUGAAUAUUGCCUAAAUAUAGGAAUGGAUAAAAUUAACUGGCCAGAAGAAAAAUUAAAACUUCUAGAUAAUGAAAUAGUAGAGAGUCUUAAUUCAUCUGGCCAAACAUAUCAUAAGGUACAAAUGAUAGUGAAUGAGGAGGAAAACAUAUAAUUAGCCUAAAAAAUUAGGAUAAUACAUGUAAAGGGUUUUUCAGUUGGCUGGGAUGCUUUUUCCCCUUAGACUUUUCCUUGUCUAGUAUUAGACAUUUUCUGUUCUUAAUCAGUGUUACUGGUUUAAUAUUGUUACUUUUGUUCCUGAUAUGUAACUGUUACAUGUAGCUGCAGAAAAGCAAAACUUAAGACAAACAGUAAAAAGACUAGGAUCAUGGUGGCUCAAAAAUUAGAAAUGAUCCAGAAUACUUUUUAACAAGAACAUAUAGGAUCUGACUGCUGAAAGGGCGAGGGCUACGCCCUCCAUCUUGCCCCGAAUCCUCCAUUUUUCGGUAGAGCUAUGUGCUCAGCAAGGCUUCUUCCCGGAAGCCCAAGCCUCUGCUAGUCACACCCAGGAUUUCUCUAAACUAACCAAUGACAA